RNAcentral lists this ribosomal RNA (253 nucleotides) under uncultured bacterium. RNAcentral describes it as "partial 16S ribosomal RNA". It matches the Rfam family "Bacterial small subunit ribosomal RNA", at positions 524 to 776 of the family's 1533-position model. The record is from RNAcentral.
UACGGGGGGGGCAAGCGUUGUUCGGAAUUACUGGGCGUAAAGGGCUCGUAGGCGGCCAACUAAGUCAGACGUGAAAUCCCUCGGCUUAACCGGGGAACUGCAUCUGAUACUGGAUGGCUUGAGAUUGGGAGAGGGAUGCGGAAUUCCAGGUGUAGCGGUGAAAUGCGUAGAUAUCGGAAGGAACAUCAGUGGCGAAAGCGGCUUCCUGGACCAGUACCGACGUUCAGGCACGAAAGCGUGGGGAGCAAACAGG